UACGAAGGGAGCAAGCGUUGUCCGGAUUUAUUGGGCGUAAAGAGCGUGUAGGCGGCCAGACAGGUCCGUUGUGAAAACUGGAGGCUUAACCUCCAGACGUCGAUGGAAACCGUCUGGCUAGAGUCCGGAAGAGGAGAGUGGAAUUCCUGGUGUAGCGGUGAAAUGCGCAGAUAUCGGGAGGAACACCAGUGGCGAAGGCGACUACCUGGCCUGUUUCUUGACGCUGAGGCGCGAAAGCUAGGGGAGCAAACGGG
This 254-nucleotide ribosomal RNA is filed under the name uncultured bacterium. Its description in RNAcentral is "partial 16S ribosomal RNA". It matches the Rfam family "Bacterial small subunit ribosomal RNA", at positions 524 to 776 of the family's 1533-position model. The record is from RNAcentral.